CCUACGGGAGGCAGCAGUGAGGAAUAUUGGUCAAUGGGCUUACGCCUGAACCAGCCAAGUCGCGUGAGGGAAGACUGCCCUACGGGUUGUAAACCUCUUUUGUCAGGGAGUAACGCCGGCUACGUGUAACUGGUCUGAGAGUAUUUGAAGAUAAAGCAUCGGUAAACUCCGUGCCAGCAGCCGCGGUAAUAGGGGGGAUCCGAGCGUUAUCCGGUUUGAUUGGGUUUAAAGGGUGCGAAGGCGGAAGUCCAAGUCAGUGGUAAAAUUGCGGGGCCCAACCUCGCUUCGCAGUUGAAACUGGCGUUCUUGAGUGGGCGUGAGGUAUGCGGAAUGCGUGGUGUAGCGGUGAAAUGCAUAGAUAUCACGCAGAACUCCGAUUGCGAAGGCAGCAUACCGGCGCCCAACUGACGCUGAAGCACGAAAGCGUGGGUAUCGAACAGGAUUAGAUACCCGAGUAGUC
Molecule: ribosomal RNA, 460 nt
Filed under: uncultured bacterium
Lineage: Bacteria
Description: partial 16S ribosomal RNA
Rfam family: Bacterial small subunit ribosomal RNA
Source: RNAcentral